This 424-nucleotide ribosomal RNA is filed under the name uncultured bacterium. Its description in RNAcentral is "bacterial SSU rRNA". It matches the Rfam family "Bacterial small subunit ribosomal RNA", at positions 355 to 796 of the family's 1533-position model. The record is from RNAcentral.
UGGGGAAUAUUGGACAAUGGGCGCAAGCCUGAUCCAGCCAUGCCGCGUGAGUGAUGAAGGCCCUAGGGUUGUAAAGCUCUUUCGACGGGGACGAUGAUGACGGUACCCGUAGAAGAAGCCCCGGCUAACUUCGUGCCAGCAGCCGCGGUAAUACGAAGGGGGCUAGCGUUGUUCGGAAUUACUGGGCGUAAAGCGCACGCAGGCGGUUCGCAUAGUCAGAAGUGAAAGCCCUGGGCUCAACCCGGGAAUUGCUUUUGAUACUAGCGGACUAGACUCAGGGAGAGGAUAGCGGAAUUCCGAGUGUAGAGGUGAAAUUCGUAGAUAUUCGGAAGAACACCAGUGGCGAAGGCGGCUAUCUGGCCCUCGAGUGACGCUCAUGUGCGAAAGCGUGGGGAGCAAACAGGAUUAGAUACCCCUGUAGUCC